RNAcentral lists this ribosomal RNA (524 nucleotides) under uncultured marine eukaryote. RNAcentral describes it as "SSU rRNA". It matches the Rfam family "Eukaryotic small subunit ribosomal RNA", at positions 609 to 1132 of the family's 1831-position model. The record is from RNAcentral.
GUUGUUGCGGUUAAAAAGCUCGUAGUUGGAUCUCGGCGGGCAGGGGGUGGUUCGCUCUUCAGCGCUACUGCCCCGCUUUGCCCGUGUGAUUGGCGGAGGUUUCGGGGUGCUCUUCGUUGAGUGACUCGGAGCGCCGUCAGGUUUACUUUGAAAAAAUUAGAGUGCUCAAAGCAGGCUUUUCACGCUUGAAUAUUCGUGCAUGGAAUAAUGGAAUAGGAACUCGUUUCUAUUUUGUUGGUUUUCGGAAAUCGAGUUAAUGAUUAACAGGGACAAUUGGGGGCAUUAGUAUUCAGACGACAGAGGUGAAAUUCUUGGACCGUCUGAAGACUGACUACUGCGAAAGCAUUUGCCAAGAGCGUUUUCAUUAAUCAAGAACGAGAGUUAGAGGUUCGAAGGCGAUCAGAUACCGCCCUAGUUCUAACCAUAAACGAUGCCAGCUAGCGAUCUGCCGAGUUUUUUUUGUAGGCUCCGCAGGAAGCUUUCGGGAAACCAAAGCUUUUGGGUUCCGGGGGAAGUAUGGUUGC